Molecule: ribosomal RNA, 282 nt
Filed under: uncultured diatom
Lineage: Eukaryota; Bacillariophyta
Description: partial 18S ribosomal RNA
Rfam family: Eukaryotic small subunit ribosomal RNA
Source: RNAcentral
CGUAUAUUAAAGUUGUUGCAGUUAAAAAGCUCGUAGUUGAACUUGUGCAUGUCCCUGUAUGUCCAUCUUAUUUGGUGCCUUCAAGGGCGUGCAUUCUUGGGUGAAACCUGUGUGGCAUUAGGUUGUCGUGUAGGGAAUGCUCAUCGUUUACUGUGAAAAAAUUAGAGUGUUCAAAGCAGGCUUAUGCCGUUGAAUACAUUAGCAUGGAAUAAUAAGAUAGAACCUUGGUACUAUUUUGUUGGUUUGCGAACUGGGGUAAUGAUUAACAGGAACAAUUGGGGG